GACGAACGCUGGCGGCGUGCUUAACACAUGCAAGACGAACGGAAAGGCCCUGCUUUUGUGGGGUGCUCGAGUGGCGAACGGGUGAGUAACACGUGAGUAACCUGCCCUUGACUUUGGGAUAACUUCAGGAAACUGGGGCUAAUACCGGAUAGGAGCUCCGGCUGCAUGGUGGGGGUUGGAAAGUUUCGGCGGUUGGGGAUGGACUCGCGGCUUAUCAGCUUGUUGGUGGGGUAGUGGCUUACCAAGGCUUUGACGGGUAGCCGGCCUGAGAGGGUGACCGGCCACAUUGGGACUGAGAUACGGCCCAGACUCCUACGGGAGGCAGCAGUGGGGAAUAUUGCACAAUGGGCGGAAGCCUGAUGCAGCAACGCCGCGUGCGGGAUGACGGCCUUCGGGUUGUAAACCGCUUUCGCCUGUGACGAAGCGUGAGUGACGGUAAUGGGUAAAGAAGCACCGGCUAACUACGUG
RNAcentral lists this ribosomal RNA (468 nucleotides) under uncultured bacterium. RNAcentral's name for it is "partial 16S ribosomal RNA". It matches the Rfam family "Bacterial small subunit ribosomal RNA", at positions 28 to 507 of the family's 1533-position model. The record is from RNAcentral.